This 408-nucleotide ribosomal RNA is filed under the name uncultured bacterium. Its description in RNAcentral is "bacterial SSU rRNA". It matches the Rfam family "Bacterial small subunit ribosomal RNA", at positions 355 to 776 of the family's 1533-position model. The record is from RNAcentral.
UCGAGAAUCUUCCACAAUGGACGAAAGUCUGAUGGAGCGACGCCGCGUGAUUGAUGAAGUCCUUAGGGACGUAAAAAUCUUUUUUGAAGGAGGAAGUUUAUUGACGUUACUUCAAGAAUAAGGGGUUCCUAAACUCGUGCCAGCAGGAGCGGUAAUACGAGUGCCCCGAGCGUUAUCCGGAAUCAUUGGGCGUAAAGGGUGCGUAGGCGGUCAUAUUAGUCUUUUGUUAAAUUCUUCGGCUUAACCGGGGGUCUGCAAAGGAAACGUUAUGACUAGAGAGUGUGAGAGGUGAACGGAACUCAUGGAGUAGGGGUGAAAUCCGUUGAUAUCAUGGGGAACACCAAAUGCGAAGGCAGUUCACUGGCACAUUUCUGACGCUGAGGCACGAAAGCGUGGGUAGCGAAUGGG